This 128-nucleotide ribosomal RNA is filed under the name Kryptolebias marmoratus (mangrove rivulus). Its description in RNAcentral is "5.8S ribosomal RNA (ENSKMAG00000017653.1)". It matches the Rfam family "5.8S ribosomal RNA". From Rfam's summary of the family: 5.8S ribosomal RNA (5.8S rRNA) is a component of the large subunit of the eukaryotic ribosome. It is transcribed by RNA polymerase I as part of the 45S precursor that also contains 18S and 28S rRNA. The record is from RNAcentral. Lineage: Eukaryota; Metazoa; Chordata; Actinopteri; Cyprinodontiformes; Rivulidae.
AACAUACAGCGGUGGAUCACUUGGCUCAUGCAUCAUUGAAGAACGCAGCUAGCUGCGAGAACUAAUAUGAAUUGCGGGACACAUUGAUCAUCAACACUUCGAAUGCGACAAAAUAUGGAAAAGUUCAA